RNAcentral lists this unclassified non-coding RNA (337 nucleotides) under soil metagenome. Its description in RNAcentral is "partial contains 5.8S ribosomal RNA, internal transcribed spacer 2, and large subunit ribosomal RNA". The stretch from base 1 to 120 matches the Rfam family "5.8S ribosomal RNA", at positions 35 to 154 of the family's 154-position model. The record is from RNAcentral.
GAUGAAGAACGUAGCGAAAUGCGAUAAGUAGUGUGAAUUGCAGUAUUCAGUGAAUCAUCGAAUCUUUGAACGCACAUUGCGCCCCUUGGUAUUCCAUGGGGCAUGCCUGUUCGAGCGUCAUUUGUACCUUCAAGCUCUGCUUGGUGUUGGGUGUUUGUCUCGCCUCUGCGUGUAGACUCGCCUCAAAACAAUUGGCAGCCGGCGUAUUGAUUUCGGAGCGCAGUACAUCUCGCGCUUUGCACUCAUAACGACGACGUCCAAAAGUACAUUUUUACACUCUUGACCUCGGAUCAGGUAGGGAUACCCGCUGAACUUAAGCAUAUCAAUAAGCGGAGGA